GAUGAAGAACGUAGUGAAAUGCGAUAAGUAAUGUGAAUUGCAGAAUUCAGUGAAUCAUCGAAUCUUUGAACGCACAUUGCGCCCGCCAGUAUUCUGGCGGGCAUGCCUGUUCGAGCGUCAUUUCAACCAUCAAGCCCCGGGCUUGUGUUGGGGACCUGCGGCUGCCGCAGGCCCUGAAAUGCAGUGGCGGGCUCGCUGUCACUCCGAGCGUAGUAGUUACAUCUCGCUCUGGGCGUGCUGCGGGUUCCGGCCGUUAAAAGCCUUAUUUACCCAAGGUUGACCUCGGAUCAGGUAGGAAGACCCGCUGAACUUAAGCAUAUCAAUAGCGGAGGA
RNAcentral lists this unclassified non-coding RNA (333 nucleotides) under soil metagenome. Its description in RNAcentral is "partial contains 5.8S ribosomal RNA, internal transcribed spacer 2, and large subunit ribosomal RNA". The stretch from base 1 to 120 matches the Rfam family "5.8S ribosomal RNA", at positions 35 to 154 of the family's 154-position model. The record is from RNAcentral.